This 183-nucleotide non-coding RNA is filed under the name Verrucomicrobiota bacterium. Its description in RNAcentral is "6S RNA". It matches the Rfam family "6S / SsrS RNA". From Rfam's summary of the family: E. coli 6S RNA was the first non coding RNA to be sequenced, but its function was unknown until recently. It consists of 184 nucleotides that fold into an extended hairpin structure with a large single-stranded internal bulge. The 6S RNA specifically associates with RNA polymerase holoenzyme containing the sigma70 specificity factor. Lineage: Bacteria; Pseudomonadati; Verrucomicrobiota. The record is from RNAcentral.
UUUACCCUGCGGUGUUCGAGAUUACAGGUGUGAUUCCCGAACCGAUAUUUCAUUGACCAGGAGGCUUGGCUGCAUUGGGAAGAUGACAUGCCUUAAUUGGAAGUCAGACGCUCGUGCGGCGGUCAUCCGCCCGUUACCGAAAGGGAACGGGAUAUCCGCCUAAACGGCAUUUGCGGGGUAAUA